Molecule: ribosomal RNA, 552 nt
Filed under: Schistosomatidae sp. Aa2
Lineage: Eukaryota; Metazoa; Platyhelminthes; Trematoda; Strigeidida; Schistosomatidae
Description: partial 28S ribosomal RNA
Source: RNAcentral
GAGAGUAAACAGUGCGUGAAACCGCUCAGAGGUAAACGGGUGGAGUUGAACUGCGAUCCUUGGGAAUUCAGCUGAUGAGUAUGAUUUGUGCUUGGGCAUAUUGGCCGCCUUUCAGUGUCUGCUUAAUUGCGGGUGCCUGCCUCUGGUGGGUAUGUGUGGUGCGCUUAUCAGGUGCUGCACGCAUUGGAGGGUGUAUGGGUCUGCUUGUCAGUGCACUUUCUCAGGGUGUUCACCACGACCGGCGCUGCUGUCUGUCUGCUGUAGUCAAACUGAUCAGGUCUGAUUAACGUUGGGCUUGGUUGGGUUGGCAGGUGACUCACUGGUCCACUCUGUGGGCUAUGAGUGUUACUAGCCGGCUAUAGUGGAUCUGUACGGUGUGUCGGAGACGGCGGCUUGGCAUAUGCGCUCUGUCCUUCAGGCGUGGUUGAGUCUGGUCAGCUUGUUGCUAGUUUCGGCUGGUCAGUUGAUGGCUUGAUCAUGUUCAGUUGGCAGUGGUGUGUGUGUCUUAGUUUGGGCCAAUAGUCUGUGGUGUUGUGGUAGACUAUCCACCUG